This 456-nucleotide ribosomal RNA is filed under the name uncultured bacterium. RNAcentral describes it as "bacterial SSU rRNA". It matches the Rfam family "Bacterial small subunit ribosomal RNA", at positions 340 to 786 of the family's 1533-position model. The record is from RNAcentral.
UACGGAAGGCAGCAGUGGGGAAUAUUGCACAAUGGGCGAAAGCCUGAUGCAGCUAUGCCGCGUGUACGAAGAAGGCCUUAGGGUUGUAAAGUACUUUCAUCGGGGAGGAAAAACAAAACUAAUAAUUUUAUUUCUUGACGUUACCCGAAAAAGAAGCACCGGCUAACUCCGUGCCAGCAGCCGCGGUAAUACGGAGGGUGCUAGCGUUAAUCAGAAUUACUGGGCGUAAAGAGCACGUAGGUGGUUUUUUUAAGUCAGAUGUGAAAUCCCUGGGCUUAACCUAGGAACUGCAUUUUGAAACUGAAAUACUAGAGUAUCGUAGAGGGAGGUAGAAUUCUAGGUGUAGCGGUGAAAUGCGUAGAUAUCUGGAGGAAUACCUGUGGCGAAAGCGGCCUCCUAAACGAAUACUGACACUGAGGGUGCGAAAGCGUGGGGAGCAAACAGGGAUUAGAUACC